UUAAUUGAAGCCAAAAUAGAGGCAUAUCACUGUUAAUGAUAAAAUUAGAAUAAUUCUCAAUUAAA
This 65-nucleotide transfer RNA is filed under the name Onthophagus longimanus. RNAcentral describes it as "tRNA-Asn". Lineage: Eukaryota; Metazoa; Arthropoda; Insecta; Coleoptera; Scarabaeidae. The record is from RNAcentral.